AUAUACAUGGAGGAGAGAAUUUGGGAAUUCAUCGAGAGAAACUUGUGAAUGGCCUACUCAUUGUUCUAGCAAUCGCUUAUAUGCCCUCGGCUCUCGGGUAGAGAAAAUUUUGGGGCUCAUUUCCAGGUCAACACAGCAUGGUUCACUUGAUUAUAGAAGAAAAAUUUGUACUAUUCUCAGGCUAAUAAAAGUUGUUUGUGUUAACUUAAUCUGUGUUAUAGCUGCCAUGUACCAUUAGUACCAGAUGUACAAAAAUAAUGCAACACUCCAUUUCCUGGGAAGAAAUUAAUUUGUUUUUCACCAUCACUACUUUUGAUUAAUGGCAUAUCUAAUGUAUUG
Molecule: unclassified non-coding RNA, 339 nt
Filed under: Hevea brasiliensis (rubber tree)
Lineage: Eukaryota; Viridiplantae; Streptophyta; Magnoliopsida; Malpighiales; Euphorbiaceae
Source: RNAcentral